GUCUACGGCCAUGCUACCCUGAACACGUCUGAUCUCAUUUGAUCUUGGAAGCUAAGCAGGGUCGGGCCUGGUUAGUACUUGGAUGGGAGGCCAAAUUCACACCUAAAGUCCCAAGUCA
This 118-nucleotide ribosomal RNA is filed under the name Octodon degus (degu). Lineage: Eukaryota; Metazoa; Chordata; Mammalia; Rodentia; Octodontidae. The record is from RNAcentral.